CGCGGAGUGGAGCAGUUGGCAGCUCGUCGGGCUCAUAACCCGAAGGUCGUAGGUUCGAGUCCUGCCUCCGCAACCA
This 76-nucleotide transfer RNA is filed under the name Clostridium botulinum. RNAcentral describes it as "tRNA-Met(cat)". It matches the Rfam family "tRNA". From Rfam's summary of the family: Transfer RNA (tRNA) molecules are approximately 80 nucleotides in length. Their secondary structure includes four short double-helical elements and three loops (D, anti-codon, and T loops). Lineage: Bacteria; Bacillati; Bacillota; Clostridia; Eubacteriales; Clostridiaceae. The record is from RNAcentral. RNAcentral also lists the same sequence under 55 other names.